This 729-nucleotide long non-coding RNA is filed under the name Brassica napus (rape). RNAcentral describes it as "long non-coding RNA (BNAP_LNC016245)". Lineage: Eukaryota; Viridiplantae; Streptophyta; Magnoliopsida; Brassicales; Brassicaceae. The record is from RNAcentral.
AUUUUGUUUGUUACUAUUCUAUUUUAAUAAUACUUCAUAUUAUGUAUUGUGUGCAUAUUUUGAUAUUUGAGUUAGGGUUUAUAUUUUCUUGUAGGGUUUAGUGAUUAGUGUGUUGUGUUUGGUUUAUGGAACGUUUGUGUUGACCUUGGGGUAAUCAUUACUUCCUUUCCAUGUAAUCAUAUACAUUUUACAAUUUGAACAUUAAUAUAUACUAUGUUAUUUCGUUUGUUACUAUUCUAUUUUGAUAAUGCUUCUUAUGUACUAUGUGUAUAUUUGAUAUUGGAUUAGGGUUUAUAUUUCCUUUAAGGGUUUAGUAAUUAGUGUUUUGGGUUUAGUUUAUGGAAAGUUUGGGUUGACUUUAGAGUAAGCAUUACCUCCUUCACUGCAAUCAUAGACAAUUCAAAAUUUAAACAUUAAUAUGUACUAUGCUAUUUCGUUUGUUACUACUUUAUUUUAAUAAUGUUUCAUAUUAUGUACUGUGCGCAUAUUUUGAUAUUAGGGUUAAGGUUUAUAUUUUUAUUUUAGGGUUUAGUGAUUAGUGAUUAGUGUUUUGGGUUUAGUUUAUGGAAGUUUUGGGUUGAUAGGGAAUAAGCAUUACUUCCACUAUUAUUAAUUUCAUUAAUAUGAACUAUACCAUAUGUAGAAUGUUCUAUUCUAUUUACUCUAUUUAUCUUCUUCCAUAACAUUAUAUCUUUCUCCGACCAUCGUAGUCAUAUUAAUCGUUGCAUG